Molecule: ribosomal RNA, 208 nt
Filed under: uncultured bacterium
Lineage: Bacteria
Description: partial 16S ribosomal RNA
Rfam family: Bacterial small subunit ribosomal RNA
Source: RNAcentral
CUCGUAGGUGGCCAACUAAGUCGGACGUGAAAUCCCUCGGCUUAACCGGGGAACUGCGUCCGAUACUGGAUGGCUUGAGUUCGGGAGAGGGAUGCGGAAUUCCAGGUGUAGCGGUGAAAUGCGUAGAUAUCUGGAGGAACACCGGUGGCGAAGGCGGCAUCCUGGACCGACACUGACGCUGAGGAGCGAAAGCCAGGGGAGCAAACGG